GCAUGGUUCGAAAUUGAAAGGCGGCUUCGGCUGUCACUUAUGGAUGGACCCGCGUCGCAUUAGCUAGUUGGUGAGGUAACGCCUCACCAAGGCAGCGAUGCGUACCCGACCUGAGAGGGUGAUCGGCCACGCUGGGACUGAGACACGGCCCAGACUCCUGCGGGAGGCAGCAGUAGGGAAUCUUCCGCAAUGGACGAAAGUCUGCAGGAGCAACACCGCGUGAGUGAUGAAGGCUUUCGGGUCGUAAAACUCUGUUGUUAGGGAAGAACAAGUGCUAGUUGAAUAAGCUGGCACCUUGACGGUACCUACCCAGAAAGCCACGGCUAACUACGUGCCAGCAGCCGCGGUAAUACGUAGGUGGCGAGCGUUAUCCGGAAUUAUUGGGCGUAAAGCGCGCGCAGGUGGUUUCUUAAGUCUGAUGUGAAAGCCCACGGGUCAACCGUGGAGGGUCAUUGGAAACUGGGAGUCUUGAGUGCAGAAGAGGAAAGUGGAAUUCCAUGUGUAGCGGUGAAAUGCGUAGAGAUAUGGAGGCACACCAGUGGCGAAGGCGACUUUCUGGUCUGUAACUGACCCUGAGGCGCGAAAGCGUGGGGAGCAAACAGGAUUAGAUACCCUGGUAGUCCGCCCCGUAAACGAUGAGUGCUAAGUGUUAGAGGGUUUCCGCCCUUUAGACUGAAGUUAACGCAUUAAUCACUCCGCCUGGGGAGUACGCCCGCAAGGCUGAAACUCAAAG
RNAcentral lists this ribosomal RNA (733 nucleotides) under uncultured bacterium. RNAcentral describes it as "bacterial SSU rRNA". It matches the Rfam family "Bacterial small subunit ribosomal RNA", at positions 188 to 906 of the family's 1533-position model. The record is from RNAcentral.